This 8863-nucleotide long non-coding RNA is filed under the name Triticum aestivum (bread wheat). RNAcentral's name for it is "long non-coding RNA (TAES_LNC023782)". The record is from RNAcentral. Lineage: Eukaryota; Viridiplantae; Streptophyta; Magnoliopsida; Poales; Poaceae.
CCAGAGAUCGAGGAGAAGUCUUCUGGAAUACGGCACUGCUUAGCAUAGAACAAACUAGCUUUUUAUUAUUACACGAAUAUGAAUACAAGGUCUCCGAUAUUACAAUGAAUAACAUCGGCACGGCGACACUACGCCAUCCUCAGUUGCUCUAUGCAAGCAGAAGAACAACUCGAAGCAGCGGAAUAACUCUAGCAGCGGAACAAUGACGACGGUGGUGAACUCCACUCCGCAGGGACUCUAGCUGGAACGCUUAUCCUAGCUCGCACGAACGGAAACCACAACAAGCAAGCAAUCAAAUCCGGCAUGACCUGCAAACUGGCAUGACACGCCAGGUCAGUACAUUGAAUGUACUUGCAAGCUCACAAUAAUCCAGAAGCAUUCAAGACAAACAACAGCAUGGCAAUUACAGGUUAAACAGGAAUUAUCAUGAUAUCAUCAGAAUAACAUGGCAUGACCAAUAUAAACAUGAUACAGCUAACACAACAUGAGCAUAUUAAUCCGACAAUACUAGCAUGCAACAUGAUGACACUAUAUGCACCACUUAUUCUGCUCGGGUUACCUCGUAACCAACUCAUGCAUCACUUACCAACCUCGUACAUCACACGAUCAUCUCAGGAUCAAAUCAAGCUUGGUAUAAACAAUACCGUAGUAAUCAGUAAAUGACCACAAGGAGCUUGAUCUUUACCCAUGACUCUCGUACAACAUCACGAUUAUACAACGACUCGGUAUCCUCGAUACCAUCGUGAUCCUUACGGCGAUCACAACCACGACCAACACUUGGUCCCAAACCGUGAUCCUUACGGCGAUCACAACCCGACCAAUACAUGGCCCGUGAUCCUUACGGCGAUCACAACCCGACCACUAACUGGCCCGUGAUCCUUACGGCGAUCACAACCCGACCACUAAAUGGCCCGUGAUCCUUACGGCGAUCACAACCAACUUAUCUCAUUGUUAUUAAGCACAUUAUUCUUAUUACUGUUGACUCAUGGUGUGACCUAGUUUCGACCUGGGCCCUUAUCCGCGGGCGCGGCUAUCGAUAGAUUUAAUAUACACUCUGCAGAGGUUAGUACACUGUACCCACACUACGGAACCCAUGGCCUCGCACUCCCAUUCGGGUGGACCAACAGUGUUCCGACAAAACCGUCCAACUGCCAUGACACUCUCCCGGCCACUCCGACUCACUCCCCACUGGGCUAAGUCAUGGGUGGCCCCGUGUCUACCUCCAGACACAACGACCACCGCCGUGGCCCGUCCCACACGGGGACACGUAUCCAAAAACUCAAACAACUCAACAACGGGCACACAAGGUUAUGCCUGCUUACUGGGCCAGGGUACAGCACGCCCAUAACCUUCCCUCGUUGGAGGCACCGGCGAGAGGCACGACAAUAGACCCAGUUAGGACCGUCCCAUACCGGUAAGCGUGGUUGCACUGGUCAGCAUCGAUUCAGCGGCACCAUGACUCAGCCAACAGUUGUUCAAGUUCAAUUUAAUCCGGUUAACUUGAAUGCAAAUAUGCUGAGCCAUGAUAAAAUGCAUGAACAUGAUAUCAACAUAAUCAUGAGGUAUCACAUAAUUAUCCACCAUAUCAACAAUAACUCAUAUCCACUGAACAUGGAAUUCUGACUAGCAUGACCAUCACCAACAUCAACAUGUACCACUAGCAAUCAUAAACAUAUGAAAGGUAAUACUAGCAGGUAGAACAUGAUCACAAAGUACAAAACAACAUAGCACAAAAGUGAACAUGCAAAUCUGAACAUCACUAGAACAACGAUAACCAUCUUUUCAACAAGCAAACCUUUAUAAAGAUUUAAUUUGAAAACCAUGGCUACUGCAUGACUAUCAUGCAAGUGGGUAUUGUGGCUUGCCUGGGGAUGAAGAAGGCACCGGGGAGAAGUGCGGUGAAGCCGCGGAAAGAUUUGCCGGAAACAGUUCUCUCUCGGAGGGGCUGUUUACGCGCAAGGGCAAAAAGGUUAUUUUCAAUAUGCCAAAACAUAAUGAAAGUGACACCAACGGAAAGGGCUCGACGAAACGAAGAAGUGAGCGUUGGUUUCACCUCAUUUGGAGCUACGGAUAAAAAGAUAUGGAGACUUGAAUUUCAGGGACUUUUCUGCAAGAAUUUCAUCACAAAGAAGUCCCUGAGUGGAUAAGGCAGAAGCGCAAAGUUAGAAAUACGUUUUCAGAACCGAGAAAACGCCUUCUAAGCUGAAGCAGAAUGAAACUACGCCUUCCAGCUGGGAAGACGUAUUCCGAAGAAUAUGCCUCCACUUAUCCAGCGUGGCAAGGCGGGGCCAGGGGGCUUAGAGGCUUACAGGUGGGGUCCGCCUUAUCCAUCUCUCUCCUGGCUCCCUUCUUCUUCCUCCCGCGUACGCGCGCCUGGCCGAGGGAGGAGCUCACCCCGACGGUGAUUGCCGGCGGCACAGGUCACCUCAGACGGAGCCCGACCUACCGGCGGGUUCAGGAGACCAAGACGUGCACGCCCAUGUAGGUCUCGACCGCCGUGGAGCUUGGGGAAUAGCAGAACGUCGACCACGGCGGAGCAUGCCGUCGGCCACCGGUGGGCUCGUGGCUACAAGCCACUUGAGGAGGAGAGGUGACGAGGUGGUUCGGUAGAGGUGGUGGAGGCCUCGGGAAGUGGUGGAGCGGAGGGAGAAGGUUAGGGUCGCCGGAAUCAAAGUGGACAGGGGCGGCGGCCAUGGCGAUGGUGAGGGGCACAGAGAGCUCCUCGAGCCCGGGGGAGAAGCUAGGCGGGGCUAGAGGAGGUGCAGGAGGCUAGUGGUGAGCUCGGGAGGCUCGGGGGAUGGCUAUAUAUAGCCGGGCGAGAGGGAGCCGCGCUGGCGUCGCCGUGGACGCGUGGCCGGCGCCACGGACGCGUCCCCACGUGCAUGGACUCAGAGGUAGACGACGUAGGAGGCACAGGGGAGAGCUGCACGGGGCAGGAGGGGCCGAGGGGAAGCAGAGGAAGAAGCCGAGCGCCAUUAAUGCGCUGUCGGCCACAGAGCUCCCGUGGGCGAGCGGCGACGAGCGCUGACGGAGGGGGAGAGGGCUCCAGGAGGACGGCGACGACGCGGUCCAGCUGUUAGACAUGCUCACGAGCGCGAAGACGACGAGAGGAGGAGGGGCCCGAGCAAGAAACCAAUCUGGACGCGGCCAUUGCAUGCCAAAGCGGUGGUCACCGCGUGCACUGGUGCACACGGUGCCACAAGUGAUGCCAAACCAUGUCUGUGGGUUAGUCGCUCCUGGGUAAGAUGUAACUACGGUGGUAACUAGGUGAAAGAGGCUCUAGGUAAAUAGUUAGUGAGCUCUGAAGUUUACUGCAGUAAACUUUACAAGCUCAAUGUGGUCAACAGGGAGUUACUUGAAACCAAAGAAGUUGUCUGGGGGUUUAGCUAUGGAGGUACUAUGGUCCCGGAGGUUUUGAGGGUAAAAGGAUCAAGAUUUACUGCAGUUGCUUCACAACUGCAUACUUGGUCCAGAAAUGAAGAUCAUGAUGGUGCACUCACAUGGAGUUAUGGAAUGGGAUGAAACUUGGCAAAUCCUCAUGAUAUGGACAUAUAAAGAUGCUGUAAAAAGCUUAGGCCAAAUGGACAAACCAAAAUGGCACUUGCUUCAUAAACAUCAUUUCUGUCCAGAAACUUGAAAUAAUUAUGGUGGUCAAAUGGAUCAUUGAAAUUAUGCCAAAAUGGGUGGAGAGAUGUUUUAUGGGUAUAAGAAUGAUCUGGUAAUUUAUCAGGAUUUUGAAGCAAUAUAAAAUAUACUUGCUUCACAACCUGAAAAUAUUGCCAGAAACAAAGAUUUGCUCCUGUGCUCACAUAGAUGAUUGGAUGGGGCUGCAAAUGGGUGAAGGGGGUUAAUAUGAUCACAUUAAGGAGUGUGCAAAAGUUCAACUCAUUUGGGUACUCCUAGCUAGUACUUCCUUCGCAAAGCUUUCCGUCUGACAGAAACUUUGAAAAAUCACUGAGGAAGAUUGGCUAGGCAAAUAAAUUUGAACUUGUGCAUGAGGCAAUUAUUUGGACAUAUAAACAUGCCCAAAAAGUUUGGGAGUCAAUAUGAGAAAUAUAAAUGACACUUCCUUCACAAAGUGCCAUUCAGGGCAUAAUAGGAAAUGAAUUAUUGGAGGAUUAUUUUUUAACAUGGCAAUGAAAAGUUUUGCCAUAUUUGAUCAAGAUAUGACCCAAAAAAUUUAUGAGAAUUAUUUGGGAAUUUUAGGAGUGAGGGAAAUAUAGGUUGCUUCACAACCUAGGGCAAUUGGAGUUAUUCCUUUAAUAGAAAAAGGAGUGUUCCCAAUAAAAAGAAUAUUGGGAUUUGGGCUAGGAUGGAAAUGACAGGGUCUAGGGAAGGAUUUGGAUAUGACAAGCCACUCUGAAAGCAAAGAAGAGGUCAUCUUCUUCAGUUUCCAGACCACAAAGCCACGGAAAAAGAAAACUCAGGCAAAAACCUCGGGAAAACAAAAGAAAAAGAAAGGGCCAAAAAUCAGGCUGUCACAAACCUUACCCCCUUAAAGAAAUCUCGUCCUCGAUAUUUGGUUGCUUAGGGAACUAGUAUGAAUAUUCUGACUUAAGGAAACCGUUUCCAACUCGGGUAUCCUUUUUCCUUCAUUAGUGUUCCCAUUAAAUUUUUUAUCUGACAGGCCCUGGGGUGGUUUGCUUUACUGUAUCCACAUUCUGCCAGAUCUUACCUGGCUUGCUCAUUCUUAUAUAGGCUCCAAUUUAUUUUAGAUCUGCUGACUAGCUGAGUGUGAUUUGAUUAUCAUGACUGAAAUAUAUGUCCGUCUCACAAAUCCGAAAAUGAUUUCCGCUGGGUGUGCCACCCGGCACUGACAACCUUUCGUGUAAUGAUGCUCAGAUUUUUCUGAUGAAAACUCAAGCUCUGACUCAUUGCAUUUGGAUUUCUCCACUAAAUGCAGGUCCUUUGGGGUUCCAAACAGUGAGUUAAAACAUAAUCGUUUCCUGACAGAUUCUGACUCAUCACAGAAGUUUCUGAAUCAUCUUAACUGGUUCCAUUGUCUUGAGUAUCGGAUCUGUACCAAAUAUUUGAUUGUCUCCUGUCGCGGCCAGCAUAAAGGGUUUGGCCUGUAUGAUAAUAUCUGCAGACUUGACUGAAAUUUUUUGUUCACGACAGGCUAUCCAUGAUGAUUCAUAUAAGUGAGGACUCAGGCUUCCAGACUAUUAUUCCUCAUGUCGAUUACUCAUGCUGUAGGCAUAUCCAUGUGGGUCAAUACUGUCUUAGACUGCCCGAGGGAUCUGCACCAUGGGGGUCGUGCAACAAUUUUCAUUCCUGCAUCACUGGUCUUGCUCCUUCAUUAUUGUUUUCUUGGUCUGGAUCUUUGGCUGAAAGAGCUGGGCCAUAUUGUUUCUUUCUAUAACCAUAGGUAUUGUCGGUGCAAUUUUUUGGCAAUUGUAGCUUAUCCUCAUUUUUCUGACAGGGUAACCCAUUAAAUGACAGGUUCACACCUCUCAAAUUCUGAUUGUUGGGAAAUGAUCAUCCGAAACCUUUGCAAGAAAUCGGCAAAUAAAUCAGUAGCCACCAGAACGGUCUUUACAACUCAGAUCCGGGACAUUACUGAAAUAACUCAACCAUGGCUCAGGACGGCCGAAAAAACAGCUCAGAGCACGAGACCGGGUCGAUAAGAAGAAGGUGGCAGCUCCCUAAAAUAGCCAAAAAGCAGCUAUAGGGCUACUGUCACAAAAAGAAACUCAACAGCUGUACGAGACGGCCGAAAAGCAGGUCAGACUCGUGACAAUUGUUGAAGAGAGAAACAAAAAUCGGCAUCCACCCCGAAUAGCUAGAAACAGGGCGUGGUGACGUCAUUGGAGAAAAAGGGGGACAAGGGCUCAUCAGGAUCAUUUUCCAGUUCACAAGUACUUGUAUUGAGCUCAUUGAUGUCGUCAAUCCUCAUAAUCCUUUGUCACACUGCAGUGUAUACUGGCUUUAUUCGCGUAACCAUCCUCACGUGGUUUUCAUAUCCUCAUCCGAGUGACUUGUAAGAUCUUUGGUGGUAUGCUCAUCGCAUAUAUAUGAGGACCUGAUUCCGAGACAGACGUGUAUUCUGACUGAUUCUUGAUUCUGACCAAAAUGUUGCGGAUCUGAUUCUCGGGAUUCACUGCCAUAUGCUGUCAAUUCACAGCGUACUACCUUGUACCAAUGUCUUACUGAGGAAUAUUUGCUGGCUUGUGCUCGAAACUUUCAUCGGACAGCUUGCUGGAGAAGACUGGGUAUCGUGCUUCAGAAGCUUACUCCCUUAAAGACUUUGCUGGGGAAAGACUCGGUACCUUAUGCUGGAAGCUUUUGCGGUUGCUUACUGAAGAAGACAGGGUACCUUGCACGGGAAAUCAUCCACGUAUCGUACUGAGGAAGAUAGAUGAAUCUUGCCUUGGAAACUUCUCUGGUAUUUUGCGAGGGAAGAUUGGUUGCUUACACCAGAAGCUUCUUAUUGUGAUAUGCGGACCGAUUUCAACAUAUACAACCAUCUGAAUAUUUUUGCUAUUAAUUUCUUGCAUGAAACGGGGUUUUACUGGACUAUCCUCCUUUCUGAGUAUAUGCCAUAUUUUUGCUUGCUUCCAGGUACAUCGAGUUCCAAAAUCAUCCUCAACGAAAAAUUAAACUUGCAUCUGAGCCAUACCUUUGAUAAUAUUCUGUCAACCUUGCACAUAAUUUAUCUUCCUGCUAAUUUAAUCAUUUUGUUGUGAUGAGUGCACGCUAAUUUAAACUUGAUACUGACGGUCCAUCCAGGAUUUCUUUUGCAUCCAGACAAGAUAUUCCCAAUUUUCAUUGCAGUCUGCUGAUAAUUCCAUUUUGUUUUGCUGAAUUUCCAAAUAUAUGCAUAUCUUGCUGACUCUUCAGGUCCGGUGUCGGCUGACGAACAACUUUAAUAGGGGAAAAAUUUGUAACACCGAAGGCCCAAAGAAAGGAACAACAGAAACGACUAAAACAAAAGCACACAAGCAUUCUAGUAAUAUAAUUAAUCAAGCAAUCAUCACAUAUUACUGCUACUCACACAAUAACAUGCAUGCCUACUUAAGCACACAAAUUUCGCGGAAUCUCCGGUACUACGUUCUAACAUGCUAUGACGAUGUGCACGAGGACAAAUAAAUGUGUGGAAGAGUUGGUGUAAACAACGCUACACCAAGUGCUAGCUUAGCCAGGUGGCAACCUGAACUAGCUCAGAGGCGAGGACGCACUCGGUAAUCAUGUAGUGGGACACGAAGGUCGCAACCACAUUAUUAUCAAGCGGACGAAAAAAGAUCCGUACUCGUCCAAGAAAUAGGAUAGCGGGGGAAAAACUGAGGCUGCUGACAUUGCCCUUUCUUGAUAACUGAGAUCAUUAAGGGUUGCCAACACGACGAAAUAAAAGAACGAUCCAGGAUAGACGCAUGUCCAUCACCGAAAUGAUAGACGGGACUGAAAGAAAGACAUCGGUGCGAUACCUGAGCACCAUUUUUGCGAACAGUGUCGGGAUCACUUGGCAUCACUCUGUUGGGACAGAAAUGACACCAAACACCGAAAGAAAAAAGGAACUGGAGAAAUGCAAAGGUUGAGCUGUAGUGGAUCCGAACCGAUGCCAACUACACUCACCAGAUAAACCGUUAGUGACAAAUAAUAAGGCUAUAUGCAUGCUAUGCGACAAACAAAUGCAGCAAUCAAGUGCAACAAACCAACUGGGGUCUAUACUACCGCUUUCUAACGUUCGCGCGGUCUAGGGCGUCCUACAGCCAGACCUACUCUGAUACCAAGCGAUGUGGCACCCCGGCUCAGAGAAAACCGGAACGCCCCGUAUUCCAGCCCAGAGAUCGAGGAGAAGUCUUCUGGAAUACGGCACUGCUCAGCAUAGAACAAACCAGCUUUCUAUUAUUACACGAAUAUGAAUACAAGGUCUCCGAUAUUACAAUGAAUAACAUCGGCACGGCGACACUACGCCAUCCUCAGUUGCUCUUUGCAAGCAGCAGAACAACUCAAAGCAGCGGAAUAACUCUAGCAGCAGAACAACGACGACGGUGGUGAACUCCACUCCGCAGGGACUCUGGCUGGAACGCUUAUCCUAGCUCGCACGAACGGAAACCACGACAAGCAAGCAAUCAAAUCCGGCAUGACCUGCAAACUGGCAUGACACGCCAGGUCAGUACAUUGAAUGUACUUGCAAGCUCACAAUAAUCCAGAAGCAUUCAAGACAAACAACAGCAUGGCAAUUACAGGUUAAACAGGAAUUAUCAUGAUAUCAUCAGAAUAACAUGGCAUGACCAAUAUAAACAUGAUACAGCUAACACAACAUGAGCAUAUUAAUCCGACAAUACUAGCAUGCAACAUGAUGACACUAUAUGCACCACUUAUUCUGCUCGGGUUACCUCGUAACCAACUCAUGCAUCACUUACCAACCUCGUACAUCACACGAUCAUCUCAGGAUCAAAUCAAGCUUGGUAUAAACAAUACCGUAGUAAUCAGUAAAUGACCACAAGGAGCUUGAUCUUUACCCAUGACUCUCGUACAACAUCACGAUUAUACAACGACUCGGUAUCCUCGAUACCAUCGUGAUCCUUACGGCGAUCACAACCACGACCAACACUUGGUCCCAAACCGUGAUCCUUACGGCGAUCACAACCCGACCAAUACAUGGCCCGUGAUCCUUACGGCGAUCACAACCCGACCACUAACUGGCCCGUGAUCCUUACGGCGAUCACAACCCGACCACUAAAUGGCCCGUGAUCCUUACGGCGAUCACAACCAACUUAUCUCAUUGUUAUUAAGCACAUUAUUCUUAUUACUGUUGACUCAUGGUGUGACCUAGUUUCGACCUGGGCCCUUAUCCGCGGGCGCGGCUAUCGAUAGAUUUAAUAUACACUCUGCAGAGGUUAGUACACUGUACCCACAC